UCCUGGGCAAGGAUGGCCAAGGAAGGACGACAGAGGGGUAGGAGAAACACUUCUGUAGAGAGGCCACAAGGCCUUUCUGAGGAGACGAAGUUUGACAGAGGAGCUAGCCACGUCCACAUCCAGGGGAACAGCAUUCUGAGCAGCAGGAACAGGAUAGAGGCAGCAAGAGGCCUUGUGUGGUGUAGCACAGCUCUAAAGAACAGGGAGCCAGGGCCGGGGAGACCUGGGCAAACAGUAUGGGACCUUGUAAGUCACUGAGAAGACAUUGACAUGUCUUUUGAAAGUUGUGGGAGGCCACAGGAGGCUUUUCCACAUCGAAAGGGAAAAUGCCUGGUGAAGGGGUAGGCCAUGGCUGACAGGGUUGGCACUGAGCAAUGUGCACUAGGGAUUACCAGGAUGGUGGAUGUUCUGCAGCCAUGAGUGUAGCCUCGGAGUGCUGGGGUGGAGGAGGCAGGGUGUGUGAGCAUGAGCAGCCGUGAGGCCCAGGUUCAAGUCCAGCCCCGACCCUCACACUCUCUCUACAGCUGAAGCAGGAGAUGGGGAACACAGUGAUGGACAUUAUUCAGAACUACAGCGUCAAUGCCAGCAGCAGCCGCGAGGAGGCUUGGGACUAUGUGCAGGCGCAGGUGAAGUGCUGUGGCUGGGUCAGCCCCUCCAACUGGACACGUAACCCGGUGCUCAAGAACUCUACCAAGACCACUUACCCAUGCUCCUGUGAGAAGACGAAGGAGGAGGACAACCAGCUCAUUGUGAAGAAAGGGUUCUGUGAGUCUGACAACAGCACCGCAAGUGAAAACAGUCCUGAGGACUGGCCUGUGCACC
This 822-nucleotide long non-coding RNA is filed under the name Rattus norvegicus (Norway rat). RNAcentral describes it as "long non-coding RNA NONRATT019485". Lineage: Eukaryota; Metazoa; Chordata; Mammalia; Rodentia; Muridae. The record is from RNAcentral.